RNAcentral lists this long non-coding RNA (1037 nucleotides) under Rhinopithecus bieti (black snub-nosed monkey). RNAcentral's name for it is "lncRNA (ENSRBIG00000046426.1)". The record is from RNAcentral. Lineage: Eukaryota; Metazoa; Chordata; Mammalia; Primates; Cercopithecidae.
GCCAGAUAGAUGGUGGUGGGCGGCGGGGGGGAGGGUCUUGAGGGAGCAGCACCCUUGUCUGAUGGGUGUCCAAAGCCAGGGGCAGGUGGAGGUGAGAGAAGGACAAGCUCUGCAAACGUUGCAGAAGUGUUCUGUCCGUGGAGAAGGCAUGGGACUUCCACGUGAGAGCAGCUUACUCCUGCUGAGAACUUUGGGGAGACAGAGGGGAGCAGCCAUCUCAGACCUAAGCGGCUAAGAAGCUGGGUCCCCCUCUGUCACACUGUGCAGAUCUGCUGGACUUUGCAGUAAGCAGCCUUCAGGUCUAAAGCCUCCAUCCAGCAGGCCUGCCAGAAAAUCAGUCUGAACUAUUCUUGAUUCACCUGAGAGACCAGGAGGAUUCCUUGGGGCGCAGCAAAUGGGAAGGAGGGCACUGUAUUUGCCCCCUUGUCAUGGUGGCCCGGUCCCUUCACCAAGAUCCAUUCUGGGUGUAGCAGUUUCAGUGAGCCACCAUUCCCAGGCCACUGGGUUUCCCAGUCGCCCUUCCCAGGCCAGGGGGCUGUGGCAGAGCCCGGGAUGGGGGACAGAACACGAGAGGAAAGACUCAGUGGAGUGAUGGAACGUGAGCUCAGAGACCCAAGGCCCAGGGUCCUACGACACUAGUGACUGGCUGGUCCCUGUAGGCAUGUGAUUGGCCACCAGGAGAGAGGGCUUGCAGAGCUGCAGGGAGGGCAAGGGCCUGGAGAGCCUCAUCUUACCAAGAAGAGCUUUGAAAGCUUCACGAGAUGCUGCUAGCAUUACAUGACCCAGAAACCAAGGGGCAGGUCUAGUCCUCCAAGUUAGAAAAGUAACCACUAGAAGCACUGAAAAUUAAUAAUGGGACAAUGUGGUGGAGUGGAGGGGGUAUGAGUGGGAGCGAAAUUUCAUCCAUCAUCUUGGAAAGUCAAUAGAUAAUGUCCAAAACUGAUGAAUCAGGAAAUAGUGGCAGACGUGCAUUAUUUAGAGAUAUGGGGCACUGCUGUGGACACAAGGCUGGAAGUUAAUGUAGAGGCCUCUGGGGA